This 250-nucleotide unclassified non-coding RNA is filed under the name Hevea brasiliensis (rubber tree). The record is from RNAcentral. Lineage: Eukaryota; Viridiplantae; Streptophyta; Magnoliopsida; Malpighiales; Euphorbiaceae.
GGAAGGUGAAGAUUUGAAUGGAGAUAGACUUGGCUUUUUAUAGCAGGAAUGUUGUGAAAUGGAGCUAGGCGCUUUGAAUGAAGUAGGGAAUAUAUACCAUUCCUUCUGUUCAUAACCGACAGUUUCUCCUCUCUUAGUGCAAAUGCUUUAUAUCUUUAAACUUUCGCGACCCAAACAAUCGACUCUUAAUAUGCUGGAACACUACUUUCUGACCUACAUUCUUUUUUUGUAACAAAUGAAGGUCCUCCAU